This 505-nucleotide ribosomal RNA is filed under the name uncultured bacterium. Its description in RNAcentral is "partial 16S ribosomal RNA". It matches the Rfam family "Bacterial small subunit ribosomal RNA", at positions 28 to 507 of the family's 1533-position model. The record is from RNAcentral.
GACGAACGCUGGCGGCGUGCCUAAUACAUGCAAGUAGAACGCACAGUUUAUACCGUAGCUUGCUACACCAUAGACUGUGAGUUGCGAACGGGUGAGUAACGCGUAGGUAACCUGCCUGGUAGCGGGGGAUAACUAUUGGAAACGAUAGCUAAUACCGCAUAAUAUUAAUUAUUGCAUGGUAAUUAAUUGAAAGGUGCAAUUGCACCACUACCAGAUGGACCUGCGUUGUAUUAGCUAGUAGGUGAGGUAACGGCUCACCUAGGCGACGAUACAUAGCCGACCUGAGAGGGUGAUCGGCCACACUGGGACUGAGACACGGCUCAGACGCCUACGGGAGGCAGCAGUAGGGAAUCUUCGGCAAUGGACGAAAGUCUGACCGAGCAACGCCGAGGGAGGGAAGAAGGUUUUCGGAUCGUAAAGCUCUGUUGUAAGAGAAGAACGGGUGUGAGAGUGGAAAGUUCACACUGUGACGGUAUCUUACCAGAAAGGGACGGCUAACUACGUG